RNAcentral lists this microRNA (23 nucleotides) under Haemonchus contortus (barber pole worm). RNAcentral's name for it is "hco-miR-5922". Lineage: Eukaryota; Metazoa; Nematoda; Chromadorea; Rhabditida; Trichostrongylidae. The record is from miRBase by way of RNAcentral.
CGGGUGACUUGAGUACAUGAACU